Molecule: long non-coding RNA, 652 nt
Organism: Haliotis rubra (blacklip abalone)
Lineage: Eukaryota; Metazoa; Mollusca; Gastropoda; Lepetellida; Haliotidae
Exons: 5
Source: RefSeq, a predicted model, not a curated record
UUCCACCUCCAGUGACUCCCUGCAGGGAGAAUGUUGGCUUUACCAGUGUCCACACUAACGAGGUGACUCCCUGCAGGGAGAAUGUUGGCUUUACCAGUGUCCACACUAACGAGGUGACUCCCUGCAGGGAGAAUGUUGGCUUUACCAGUGUCCACACUAACGAGGUGACUCCCUGCAGGGAGAAUGCUGGCUUUACCAGUGUCCACACUAACGAGGUGACUCCCUGCAGGGAGAAUGUUGGCUUUACCAGUGUCCACACUAACGAGGUGACUCCCUGCAGGGAGAAUGUUGGCUUUACCAGUGUCCACACUAACGAGGUGACUCCCUGCAGGGAGAAUGUUGGCUUUACCAGUGUCCACACUAACGAGGUGACUCCCUGCAGGGAGAAUGUUGGCUUUACCAGUGUCCAAACUAACGAGGUGACUCCCUGCAGGGAGAAUGUUAGCUUUACCAGUGUCCACACUAACGAGGUUUCAGUGUUUGAAAACUGAGAACAGCUCACUGCACAUCAAGGAUGUUUAGAUAUAGAUCAACUCUGGCAGUUCCGGACAAACGAUGACCAUAAUGGCAGGUUAGAUAAUCCGCGCCUAUGACACUUGCAGUGGACAUACCCUCGCGUGUCCAGGCGAGGUCAAGACGUCGACACACCACA